This 1198-nucleotide ribosomal RNA is filed under the name metagenome. RNAcentral's name for it is "bacterial SSU rRNA". It matches the Rfam family "Archaeal small subunit ribosomal RNA", at positions 69 to 1253 of the family's 1478-position model. The record is from RNAcentral.
UGUCUGGAAGUGGCACACUGCUCAGUAACACGUAGCUAACCUACCCUUAGGACGUGGAUACCCCCGAGAAAUUGGGGUUAAUCCGCGAUAGAUGUAAUGUCCUGGAAUGGUAUUACGUCUAAAGGUAUUUCAUACAUGUUUGAAAUAUGCCUAAGGAUGGGGCUGCGGCCGAUCAGGCUGUUGGUGAGGUAAUGGCUCACCAAACCUUUGACCGGUACGGGCCAUGAGAGUGGUAGCCCGGAGAUGGACACUGAGACAAGGGUCCAGGCCCUAAGGGGCGCAGCAACCGCGAAACCUCCACAAUGCACUCACGUGCGAUGGGGCUAUCUCGAGUGCCACCUGAUGAAGGUGGCUUUUCCUUGGUAUUCAAAGCCUUGGGAAUAAGAGGGGGGCAAGACUGGUGUCAGCCGCCGCGGUAACACCAGCCCCUCGAGUGGUGGGGAUGAUUAUUUGGCCUAAAGCGUCCGUAGCCGGCCGUGUAAGUCUCCCGUUAAAUCCAGCGUCUCAAGCGUUGGACUGCGGGAGAUACUGUACGGCUAGAGAGUGGGAGAGGUCAGCGGUAUUCUGGGGGUAGGGGCGAAAUCCUUUGAUCCCCGGAGGACCACCAGUGGCGAAGGCUGCUGACUAGAACACGUCUGACGGUCAGGGACGAAAGCUGGGGUAGCGAACCGGAUUAGAUACCCGGGUAGUCCCAGCCGUAAACGAUGCAUGCUAGGUGUUGGGUUGGCCACGCGCCACCCCAGUGCCGCAGGGAAGCCGUUAAGCAUGCCGCCUGGGAAGUACGAUCGCAAGAUUGAAACUUAAAGGAAUUGGCGGGGGAGCACCACCAGGCGUGAAGCCUGCGGUUUAAUUGGAGUCAACGCCGGGAACCUUACCGGGAGCGACAGCAGAGUGAAGGCCAGAUUGAAGAUCUUGCCAGACGAGCUGAGAGGAGGUGCAUGGCCGUCGCCAGUUCGUGCCGUGAGGUGUUCUCUUAAGUGAGAUAACGAACGAGACCCGUGCCACAUGUUGCCACCAGUAUCUAAAGGAUAGCUGAGCACUCUUGUGGGACCGCAGCCGAUAAGGCUGAGGAAGGUACGGGCAACGGCAGGUCAGUAUGCCCCGAAUCUCCCGGGCCACACGCGGGCUGCAAUGGUAUAGACAGAGGGCUGCCACCCCGAAAGGGGGAGCCAAUCCCUAAACUGUACCUCAGUUGGGA